GUGGGUGACUGUGUUUCUGCCUCUUAGCUUCACCCUCUCAGGCAAGGGACACUGCACUGGGCUGCUUCCUGCGGAAGAGCUUUCACCGCAGGCAUCUUGGGAUCCCGGGGCCGCCCGGCGACGGGACGACGGGGUCCUGGCGUCCUCACAGGCGGGGCUGGCUGGGAGGCCCGGCGGCUCUGCAGGAGAAGACAGCCCGCAGUCCCCGCCCCGCAGGCGCCCUGACCUCCCGCGGCCGCCGCCCCGCGGCCCGGCCUCGCUGCGCCGCCCCCCUCAGCCUCCCGGGCCCCCGCCCUCCCGAGUCCCGCAGGCCGCCUCCCGGGCGCGGCAGGGCCUCCGGCGGAGCGCCGGCCGGCCCCAGGGUCUCCGCGCCGGGCUCAGGCAGCCGGGGCCGCGGGACGCCCCGCGCCUCCACCGCCCCGCGAGGGCCGCGCUGCGUCCGCACGAGCCCGUCGCGCAGAGCGUCCCCGGAGGGGCUGAGCGACGAGGCGGAGGAAGCAGCGCGGCGCCGGCUGCCCCCGCCUUCCUCUCCGGCCGGCGACACACGCCCGCAGGGGCCGCAGCCGCGAGCGGAGGCCGCCGCGCUGGCUCUCGCUUCGGGCCCGUCGCUUAGGCACUCAGCGCCUCGGCUUCCCCGUCUGUGACAGGCGGCCACAGCGCCGCCCGGGGCUGGGAGCUAACCGAGCUGCUCGCCGGGAGGCGCACGCCCCGCGCCGCCGCCGGGGGAGCGGCCGAGACGCCGCGGCUGGGACCCCGCGGUGUCCGCGGUCGCCGGCCAGCGGUCAGCACGCAGUGUCUGUGCAGCCUCUGGGCGAAGCCCCGGCCGUGCAGCCCGGCUGUCCUGGCGCCGCCGUGAGGUGGGGACAGACAGACACAGAGGGAAGACCACGUGAGGACACGCGGAGCAGGCGGCCAUCUGCAACCCAGGAGACGGGCCUCGGAGAAACCAAACCUGCGCCGCCUGGGUCUCGCACUCCGAGCCUCCAGACGGAGGAAACACGCGUGUUUCAGCCCGGCAGUCUGAUACUUCAUGAUGGCCACCCAGCGAAUGACGUCCCUGGCGGCGGGCUCUGCUACGCCUUUUACUUUGCCUCGCGUCCCGCUCUUGCUCGCGGUUCCCCCAUCUCAAGACCCCACAAGGCGCUGCCCUGGCAUCCUGUGCUCAGGCUCCUCUGGGCAAAGAUUCACUGUAGGGAUGUUCUCUGUGCAACUCCUGCCGGGCCUGUCCAUCUGCAGCUGCUCUCAGGCCACCAGGAAAGUUCUGGGCAGCCUCAGGCAGAGCCUAGGCCUGGUUUAGAGUGGAGUUUCCAGAUGCAUGCCACCAUCCACAGCCGCUCCAUCCUAGGGAACUCUGGGCCUGGGAUUGCCAGAUAAAGUACAGAACACCCAGUUAAAUUUGAAUUUCAGAUAAACAACAAAUAAUGUUUCAGUAUAAGUAUAUCCUAAAUAUUGCACAGGCAUCCUUAUACUAAAACAUUAUUUGUUUACCUGAAAUUCAGAUUUUACUGAGCAUCCUGGAUUUUUAUUUGCUACCCUACCAGCGUCGUGGGGAGUCCAGGGCACUCCGCAUAAAGACACUUUGAGAGAAUUUUCCUCCACAUCCUUCAGGAAAUCUGGACCAAAAGCUGGCCAGAGGCAGGAGCACCCCACAUCCCUCAGCCCUGAGCAGAAGCAGGCUUCCCAGGCCCACCUUGUCCUAACCCUGGUACCCACGAUAGCACCAGAGACUGCAAUCUCCAAGGUUAGGAAGAGUUUGCAUUAUAAAAUAAUGGGUGUGGGAACCUCCUCUCUCCCCUCCACCUGGAUUUUAAAGAAGUGAUAGCAGAUUUGGACACAGCCCAUGGCACCCACAAAUCCAAAAAAGAGGUAGGAUACCAUAAUUAAGAGCAUGAGCUUUGGGGUCAUAUAGACCUGUGUGAGAACUAGCAAUAUGGCCUCGAGUGAGUUAUAGCCCUCUCUAAAUUGCCCUUGUCUCAUCAUAGCUCAGGAACGUAAAUGUUCCUACCUAUCUUACAGUGUCGCCGUGGAGAGCAAACAAGACACCACACGGACAACCUUAACACAGUGCCUGACAGAAAGCAAGUGCUGGAUAAAUGCUAGCGCACUGCUGCGGGAGCCUCUCCACUUCUGUUUACAUCUCCUGCCCCAACACUCUAGCACACACGAGUUCUCCUAACUGAGCCCCAGCAGUGCUCUGAAGGCCUGGAGCUAACGACAAGCUCUGUGAGCUCCAGCUCCUGGAAACUUUCCCAGGAAAAUUUGGGAUGCAGAGAUGUGGGAUAGAAGACAGAUGGCUUUGGCAUUUUGUGGUAUGGGUAGUGAAAGGUCAGUUAGCUCUGUAGGAGAGAGCUCAGUGCCGCAGGGAUCUGGCCCAUGAGAUAGUCUUCCUCACCUCUAUCACCUAACCCUCCCCAGUCCCAGGUUGUACAGAGUUCAUUGACCCCCUCCCCUACCUUCCAUGGACACUGGGCCUGGGCCCCAAACAAAGGAAUGCGUCUGGCCUCGGGGCCAAAGAUGGCCACUUCGGCCUUGACUCUAAGGCACCACUUACAAAAAAAUAUGUCCUGCGUCAUGUUCCUUGUCUAGCCUGGCCACCCGGAAGGGCACCUGACAGGACUUUAGAAACAUCCCAUCCGUAGGAACAAAAAUGGUAAAAGCACCCCAUCCGUGGGAACAAGAAGAAAUAACUCAAAAUAUCCAAAUGUCUAAAACCCUGAGUCAGAACCCAGAGAAACCUUGGGAUGAAAGGGAGUCCCAGGCAUAGGAUAAUUGGAGGUCUCCCUGAGGAAAGGACGCUUUGCCUCAGACCUGGACGAUCAGCACUCUCACCCGCUGUACAAACUAUUGGGACUUCCCUGGCUCAUUGUGGUGUGGAUGUUGUAAGUACCGAUUUGUUGUUCCCCUUUAUCCCCACUCCUUGUUCUGUUUCCCUUUAUCAAUAAACUCUGAUUGCUUAAACAACCAAGUAGCCUUGGCUGUACCUGUCUUUCCUUGCCCUUUGUGGCUGCGGGCAACACAGGUGCCUGCUGACCGUGCAGCCAGGUGCAGGUGGAGCAGCGCCAGUCAAGCCCUAGGAUUAGAAGAUGAAGCCAGUGGUCAGUCCCAGCAAGGCUGAGUCAGUGACAUUAUCCCUCUAUGUGAAAGGUGACACGUUUGUAAGCAGAGACAUGAUAUGGGAG
Molecule: long non-coding RNA, 3179 nt
Organism: Equus caballus (horse)
Lineage: Eukaryota; Metazoa; Chordata; Mammalia; Perissodactyla; Equidae
Source: Ensembl